ACGCAUAGACUUUUGCUUGUCACUAUAAGGAGCGCCUUGCUCGCGUGUCUUUGUUUCUUUUUCUUUGCACUUCGUUGCCGCCGAACCUCGAGACCUAACCUCGACCCUAACUCGGCUUAAAUCCCGCUGGGGAUUUUUACUUUAAGAUCUAUAUCUUUAAUCAUACUUUGCUACAAAUCGAGUCACUGCCCUCGAUUAAUAACGGGCUGACUGAUUACCGGCAUUUACACCGGUGGAGAUCUCCGCCGGUCAUCGGACGAAGACGGAACUGAAGACCAUCAUCACCGGGAAUUAGUCAGGCCAGUGUCCUUCCAUUUUACU
RNAcentral lists this unclassified non-coding RNA (321 nucleotides) under Melitaea cinxia (Glanville fritillary). Its description in RNAcentral is "misc RNA ENSMCXG00005021220.1". The record is from RNAcentral. Lineage: Eukaryota; Metazoa; Arthropoda; Insecta; Lepidoptera; Nymphalidae.